Molecule: ribosomal RNA, 243 nt
Filed under: uncultured bacterium
Lineage: Bacteria
Description: partial 16S ribosomal RNA
Rfam family: Bacterial small subunit ribosomal RNA
Source: RNAcentral
GAUGCAGAGUAAAACUCAAAAAACGGUACUCAGUUCGGAUUGAAGGCUGAAAAUUCGCCUUCCAUGAAGCUGGAAUUGCUAGUAAUGGCAGGUCAGCAUACUGCCGUGAAUACGUUCCCGGGCCUUGUACACACCGCCCGUCACACCAUGAGAGUUGGAAAUACCCGAAGCCUGUGAGCUAACUUAAAGAGGCAGCAGUCGAAGGUAGAGCCAAUGAUUGGGGUGAAGUCGUAACAAGGUACC